CCCAAACAGGACUUGUGGAAGGAGUAAUUUUUCUCUUGAGAUAGUCAUACAAUAAUCAACAGUUAGGGACUUUGGGGGGAAUUUGUUUCUACAUCUAUGACUAGUACAUUUUGUGUUCUGUAGUAGUAGUAAUAAUAAUAAUUAUAAUGUGGGAGAUACAUAAAACAAGAAAGUAUUCAGGUAUAGAAAUUUUCUUGUUAGAUAAUCCCUUUAGGGGAGAGCAGGAUCUUUCAGCCAAAGAACUUCCAGUCUGACAAAACAAACACCACUGUAGACUGGGAGCAAGUGUGGAACCCCAUUGGAGAAAAAGAAGUUGGUAGGUAAUUGGAAUGUAAAAUGUUUCUUCAAUGAAGAGGGCCGGCCAGCUCAAGUGCAAAACAUUAAAGUGUAUUGUUAUGUUGAUAGCUAUAUGGUAUCUUCUCUUUCAAAUCUAAAAGUGUAAACAGAGCAGUGAGGGAGUAAAAUCAGAAGCAAAGUAAUGUUUUGGUUGUGCAGAUGCCUUAGGAAAAAGCCUUUUUAUAUGCUUGAGACUUCUUUGAGCUAGCUUUUGUGUUAGAAUGGAGGACUUUGUAGUAUGAGAACAGUCAAAAGAAAACAUCACAAAACAGGGAGUGCAAAAUCACUGUCACUAUGAAGAUACUGUAUAUGGUGUUAUUGCAGAGAAAGCCCUUUUUUAGCUGUCAGCAGUUGUUUUUAAAUGCAACUAACUGAGGCUGAAUGUCAUUCACCAAGCACAGUGCUUAAUGAAAUUGUUGCCAAAGAUUAUACAACAGGAUUAAGUAGGAUUUGCAGAGAGAAGGCUAUCAACAGAUGAAUUUUACCAAACUAUUAGAAUUAUUGUAUAGAUUUUUCACAAGCUAUCUGUGGCCUUGGUAGUCCAACAUUAAGAUAACCAACAUUAAGAUAACUAAUGGCAUUAAUAAACUACGUUGUAAGUUUUAAGAAAUGACCCAAUUCCUUUAAAUACAAAAACAAAUAAUUCAAAAUGAGACUUCCUGGAGGAGUUUUUGAGUGACUGACUGAAUUAAAACAAACAAAUAAAAACACAACUCUCUCUGGGGCAUGCUCCUGUUUGGAAGUUGUAAUGUCAACCUCAUAUUUCUUUUCAAGUGUUCAAGUUAAUGCAUUCUUAAUGUUGAAAACUGGCAAUUUCAUGUGUUAAUUUGGCUACAUUUGGUUGUAGCUGUAGUGAGUGAAUAUCGUGUUUUCUGAAUGUGUGGUAGAAGUAACCAGAAGGAUGUCUUAGCUUGUGUAUGUGUGUGUUUCCUCUAGACAAAGCUGCAUAUAAAAGCAGCAUGGUUGUGUCUUUGGCUAUGAGACAGAUCAUCUCACUAAAUUUCAUUCGUCAGUGCAGAUUUUCAGUUCGGGGGUUUUUUCAGAACUAUUUUUGUAGAUGUUGAUUAUUCCAUAGUCUGAAGUAUGGCUGGUUUGCCCUUGAAAAGGAAAGGGGAAAGUAAAUAUUUCAGGUAGGGAAGAAAAACAUUAGUAGUUGAAAAAGAGGUCCUUUGCCCCAUUUCUAUAGAAUUUGUUACAAUAAAAUUGCAUGUAGUGGUGCGUUUUGACCUUAUAUUAUUACUUCAGACCUGCUUGAUGAACCUAACUUAUUUGGGAAAUAACUUUUUGAAAUCUAGUCAAAGAUUGUAUUUAAAUCAGAAUAUUGAAUUUUGAGGUUUGGGGUAAAUUUUUUUGUUUUUUUCAUUUUAGAUUCUGGGCUGCAGUUUGUCUACUUCAGGAGAAUCAGGUGCUUGUUUUCUGUUAGGCUUGUUAGCAUUCCUACUUCAAACUCCUGACUAAUUAGCCUGGUUGCCAAAGCUCCUGCAUGCAGAGUAUCAGAUAGCACCAGUGUUUUUCUCCUUCAGCCAGUGUAGCUGGAUGCCUUAACCCUGUAUAGUGCUGAUUCCAGUUCAUCCACAGGACUGAGAACCAAGGGUAACACAAUCAAGUUUAUCAUUACAGAGCAAAAGUUGACUCAGACUUUACUGGUUGUGUCAGCAUAAAUACAUGGCAUGACCCUUGUUGCAUUAUGUAAAAAUGACUGUUUUUUGGUUUCCUUUGAUACCCUCAUCAUACUAAAGCCUGAUACUAAAAUAGUAAAAAUACAGUGCUAAUUACAAGAAAUUAAUCCAGACAGUUGUUCAUUUAAAGGAUUGUUGGUGUCACCUUUUUUUUGUCAUGUAGUGAGAGUUUAUUUCUUUUAUUUCCAAUAUAAAGGUUAUACUGAAAGCGAAUAAAUAUGAAUGUUUUGUCAAGUGAAUGUCAAGUGGUUGAAAUGAGUGUGGUUUCUGAGCUGCUCUAUGUAUUUGCUGGUGACAGCUUAUCAAUGGGUACCAGUUUGUCAAAUUUGGGUUUUAAUUUGUCUGUUGGCUCUUUGAUUGAAUCUUCAGCCUGUGUCAGGAAUGUGAAGUUGCCACUGUCAGUGGUCACAAAGAGACAAGAUAUUUGAUUUAAUUUGUACUAAGUAAUGUAUGUACUUCUAGAGACAUUAGAGAAUCCAAGGAGGGAUGUUAAGAAUAAUUUUAUUUGUGCCAUCUAUAAUAAAACCGUGAUCAGCUUUGGGAAGAGAGCCACAAGAAACCAGGCUUCAUGAAUUUGAUUGCUAGUGGAAAUGCUUUUUUCAGUAAUGCAGCUUUCUGCUGUCGGUAGAUUUGACAUUUCUGUUAGAGAUACUUAUUUUUGAGUGAAAACUCAGUAUCUUUUCAGCUUUUAGUAGUUUCACAGAUGAAUUUGCAAACUACUUGUAUUGUCAUUUUUUAUGGAUUUAAGACCGUUUCUAAGACAUUUCUCUAUCAGAGUUUUAUUAUAGAGGAAAAAACUGUAAUCUUUUUAAGUUGUAGAGAAAUUGUCAUGUAACUCUGGAAUCUAACAAUUUGUAUGCCAGUUAUGGAAAUAGCCUUAAGAUUACAGUCUUCUAAAUUUUAUUUUGUGACUGUAGAAAAUUAAUUUAUCUAAAUGCCAUGUGUUUGUGGACUUAGUCUUUAAAAUAUUUGAGAGAUUUGCCAUUUCUGUAACAAACUACAGUUUCCACUUAGCUCAUCAGGACUGCCAGUCUGCUAGGCUGCUGCAUUUCUGCUGCCUUCUUUGGUCUGGUGCUUAUCUGACCUGUGUCAAGACUUCACAGCCAAGCCAGCAUAGCCUGAGACAAAAAACAGUGAGUGCCUGCUGGCUUAUGAUGCUGGGGUCAGGUAUGUGCUGAUGUUGGUGCAGAAGUGGGAAUGAAGUGCCCAGCUUGGCCAGAGGUUGUUGUUUCAUAGUUCCUUAAGUUAAUACAAGGUGCCAGCAGAAGGAUGGUUUCUCCCAACUGCUAGCACUAACAAUUUCCUCCACACUGAAAUAAGGGAAGGGAAAUAUCUUCUGAGUUAACCUGAUUCAUGUUGCUGUACAGCUGCAGGAUGCUGGUGCCUGGCAUAAGAGAGGAGUUGGGAAUGAGUGUGUCAAUAUGAGGAAGUGCUCUCUGCAGCACUGUAGUUUCUGUUGAUGACUGUGUGUCUGCACUUUUAAUGUUCAAGUGAGUAAGGGCAGUCUUUUUUGUGGCCUGAUUGAUGCCUGAAGAUAGUUUAAAUACAGGGAUUGCAGCUCUGCAAGUAGCAAUGACUGUAAGUUCAGUGCCUGAACUUUCAUUCUCCCCCUUCAAUUUUCCUGUUGCUUCUUGGUUUGAGGUGGAUGUAAUAACCUGUUUCUUUUCCUCUAAAUGGGACUGUUCAAAAGGAACAGUCUUUAACACAGUAAAUAAUAUGGAGAACUCUGAUUAAUUUCCAUGGGUUUUUAAGAUGCAGCUGAAAAAUGUUACAGGGGACUGUGUGUACUUUUAAUUCUUCUCCUCUAAGUUUUUUGGUGCUGCUCCUUAGCAAUUGUCUCAGUUGCACAACAGUGACAGGUUGUAGAUAAAUAGUAGAAAGGUAAGCAAUAUUUUAUGGAGGCCCAUUGCUAUUUGUUAUUUUUCCACUUUUAAGUAUGUCAUGAUUAAUUCAAAGGAAGCUUUGUUUGGUUUUGACUCACAUUUUACCUGGUUUUCAGGUAUGAUUGAACUCUGCCUGUACCUCUCUCCUGUUGUUGUAGACCUUCAGGGUAUUUUGAUACACCAGAUUUAUAUCAAUCACUUUUCUGCUUCUUUACUGUCCUAUCACCGACUUCAAUCAAUUUUCCUAAUCAUAGUAAUAACAACAACUUUCUUAAGCUUUUGUUUGGUAUAUUUUUUUUUCAGAGUAUGUGUGGAUAGUUGCUGCAAGAUCGUCAGUAUAAGGGUAUUGGGAGAGUAUAUGAUAUCAGCAUCAAUAUAGUUUAUAAAGGGUGAUAUGUUUUAACUUGGGGAUAUGAUUUAAUCUUUUGUAGCUUUAUUUUUAUUUUGAAUUUAAUUAGUCUAAUGAAUGAUUAAAUAAUUACUAAACUGUUGGUAGUGCUUAUUGUUGAAAACAUUUUUUUAUUUGAUUUCUCCAGUUAACUGCAGGUUUCAUUUUGCACAAAGAACAGAUCUGCGUGUUCUCUGGUUGAUUGUGUAAAUGCUGUCCAUUGCAGCUUAACAAAGCACACCCUGCAGGGGGCAGGCAGCUGCUGUGUUGCAAGUGCAAGUGCAAACCACAUACUGUAGGUUUGAAAAUUAAGAAUUGGAAGGUAAUGUUUGUCAUGCUUUUGAGGAGUGCCCUUGGCAAAUUUUUUUUUCAUUUUUAAUAGUAGCUGCUUUUCGACUCAUAAAUCUUAGGUGAAGACAUUUCAUGUUGCUUGUGUAAUAAUAUAUUUUGUAAAAGAUUAUGAAAACUUUGGUGUAUUCAGAAUGAAGUGAGGUUGAUGGCUGUGCACAGAAUAUGGUGGCUCUGGUAAAACACUACUCUGAAAAGAACUUGUUUUGUUUUCUUUUGAAGUCAGUAGGAAGCACCCUGCUUCAUCUGCCUGGUGUAGAUAGGUUUAUUUUGAAACUUAAUUUUUUGAUCUGUGAGGUGUAAGUUAGUAGGAAAGUAUUGAAGAUUACAGUAAUUUUUUUUCAUCCCAAGAAUUUUUGUGUUAAUUAGUCUUGUUGUUGGGGACAGAUAGGCAACAUGAAACAGGGACAAUGCAUAUAAAGUAUACAGUAAAAUAUUUACAUCUGUGAUUAUUCACAUGGGCAUUUAAGCUGCAUUUAUGAAAGUUAAUCCUUUUUUUAGUGGAUGUGUUAGUUAUAGAUUGAAUUUUGGCCUUAGUUUAAGAUUUUGUGUACCAUUUGUCAUAUACUGUAGUGGAUUUUGCCUUGACUUCAUUGCAUUACACUUAUAUUGUGGAAAUGUUUAUAGUACCUCUUGCCUUUUGGUCUUGGGGUUUUGUUUCAUACUGUAGUGGAGCUAGUUCCUAAGAUGCCAUUUUCCUCAGGAAAAUAAAGAGGAGGUUUCACUUAGUUAUGAUCUUGAUGUUGUGCAUUAUUGGUAAUUCUCUCUGAUAGAAAGGUCAGCUGUUGGUCCUGCUUCUGUGAAUAUUGCAGUGUUAAAACUUAGGGAAGAAUGAGUCAUUCUGUAGUGGAAAGUCUUUGUUGAUCCAGGUGUCAAAGGUUUGGAAGAGGAAGUAAAGCUGUUGAAAAUUAGUUUUUUAUAGGAGCUGGUUUUUCAUCUGUAUUGUUCUUCCUUUCUUCUGUUAGAUUAAAGGUAGUCUUUUAUAAUGAAGCUGCACUUUCUGAAGUUAACUCAAAAACUAGCUUAACAAGAACACUUUCUUUGCUACAUGGAAAAUAGUUUAUAACAGUUACCAGGAUUUAAAAAAAACCCUAACUGUUUGGAAUGCCUUUUUAAUAGUAUUCUGUCCUCAAGUUUCAAGUUGAGCAGUCAUUAUGGGAAUUGAGUGCUAGAACGGGGAAUGAGUGCUAGAAACUUCACCCUCAUGUAAUUUCACAGUGCUUAUUCCCUUACUGAUUUAAGUGGGUUUUAAAAUACUGUAGGAAAUAUGUUUUUAAAAAUAUUCUUGUAUUCAUUAGAAUUCCACAGGUUUGUUCUAUGUGUGGCUUUUGGAGAGGCAAAGGAAGCAAUUCCAAUUUACUGUGUAGACUGACAACAGGUCAGAUACAAAGACGUUACAUGAAUGUUUCAGAAUAUCCUGCAGUGAUAAUACUGUUGCUGUGCUGACCUGUAAAUCAAUAUUGUGACCCGAAUUCAUUUGAAAGCAACUUGUAUGUGCUUUAAAACUAAUUUUUGCGCUGUGGAUUUGUUUUAUUGUUAUUUAUAUUCUAUUAGCAAAACUCCUGAGCAACGAGACAUGUACCUGAAUAGUAAUUGCAACUUAGUUCUCUGUAGAUUCUUGCCUGCAGAAUUUGAAUGGAGCACGAAGAAAGAUGUGGCGUUCUUAGUGCUGGAUUUUGGUAUUUUCUAGAUGCAGUCAUGCAGAAUGUGCUUGCAAGGCAAACAAUGUUAUCAAUGCAGCUGAAAGAGAUCAAAGCCUCUUGGAGGGGGGGUGCAUAUGAACAUUUCUGAAGGGAAACUGGUAUAUUCUUUCCUGCUCCAGAGAUGGAAUAGUUUACAGAAUGGGUAGUGUGUAAUACUCUUAAAUAUUGAAGUAUGUAGUGCUUCAUGAUGAGUACAGGUGGGAUAGGAGUUUAAAGGCCUAUGGUUAUUCCUUGCUGGCUUGUGGGAAUAGUAGUUUUGAUUUCAUUCAUUGCUGUGCCCUACAUAUUGUGAUAAAUAUUCUCUCACUAUCUCUGAUACUUUAAAGGAGGGGUUUCCUUUCUCAUAUGUGAGCAUGGCUGUAGAUUAUCGCUCCUGCAUAUUAUUGCUUUGUUUGCAGAAGCUUCUCAGAUUCUUCAGGAAGUCCAGGUUUCCCUGCUGCAAAUCCCAUUGUUUCACAUUGCAGUCUUUUUCCGAGCUUCAUGUACAGUGCAGUCUUUUUAUCUCUUUCUAUUUGUUUUCAUAUUCCUUCUUAACUAUUAUAUUCUUGUGUAAAAAGAAUGAGAUGAUUGGCAGAAAGAGAGGUUUGGAGACAAUUUUUUUUUGUGAGGAUUUUCUUUGUUUUGGUUUGCCGAAGUAUUAAACACCUUUGCCUUCUAUAAUUAUUAAUACUUUUCAUAUGUGUAUGUGGCCACUCUUCAUAAUUGGAGAGGGGAGCUUGAGGUGCUCUUCCCUUCAUAUUUUACUUACUUGCAUUUCUCUGUAGCAUAGCUUCAAAUGAGUGAUUUUGAUUAUUACUGAUUAUUGCUUUAAAACAAAAAUCCACCCUUAACAGUAAGUAACUGGGAACUAGAUUUAAAGAUUGAACUGUUUUGAGAAACAGUCACUCGUCUGAAGCCUCAUGGAAAACAUUGAUGAUAAUUGAUGUGAUAACUUGUACCUCACGUCUUCAGGUUUAAGUGUGACUUGGAUGUUUUGUGUGACUGACUUCAUUAGGUAUCAAAAUUUUUUUGCUUCCUACUUUUUGUAGUGCUCUUUUUCAGUUGAUGAUGGUCUGAGGUCCUUGAGGAGAAUGUCAGAGGGGAGUGGUAGCACUGAGAAUGCAGAUGUUUUCUAAGAAUGUUUAAUCAAAGCUUUUCACAAGAUUUCGUAGAAUUUUGAAGUAAUUUCACU
This is a non-coding RNA of Sturnus vulgaris (Common starling), 7508 nucleotides long. NCBI's taxonomy places the organism in Eukaryota, Metazoa, Chordata, Aves, Passeriformes, Sturnidae. The record is from RefSeq and is a predicted model, not a curated record.